UUUAUUAAUGAAAGAUUUAUCCCGUCAUCUGCCUCCCUUGCUUUCCAUUAUAUAAAAGAGAUGAUACACCUCCUUAUCUCUCUAGAUGUCAUAUAUACUUCCUCUUCGCGUGUCACUUGUCAAGGAUUCCGCACACACAACCCUCCUCCUUGCCCAAACAUGUUACAUCUCCUCUCGUCUUCUUGGCUUAUGAAGUAACUCUAUCUAAGCAUGUGAGGUGUUAGGAAGUUCCUAGUGAUCUAUCCUACCCAUGACUGCAUUCUCAUAGCUAACAUAGUGAGGACGACAAACUAGAACGCGUGCCAUCCUGCCAUCUACAUACGAUCUCUUGUGAAUCAUUGAGUCGUCUGUGAUUGUUGGCUGGUCCUUGGCUUGCUCAUGUAUUGCCCUGGCCUUACUAUAGACGUUGCGACAUUGAUUGUCUACGUGGAGCAUCUGUAGCGGAUAUGGCUUUGGGUCCUAUGGUUGCACAAACCACUGCUACAAUUUUCAGGAAUAGAGUAGGAAUCAUGGGACUAUGCAGCUCCGUAGGAUGUGAACACAAAAAUGCAGCAGUUGUAGUUAUCCUUAUGCUAGAAAUUUAUACGGUUGGUAUUCAUUCUUAUGAUACAGGCUGAUUGAUCUAUAUACAUAGCAUUGGGGUCUCGUGUGCAAGAAACAGUGUCUUGUGUAGUGUGGAUGAGAUGGCACAAGAACAGUCGAAGGCGCGUGACACAU
RNAcentral lists this long non-coding RNA (717 nucleotides) under Hordeum vulgare. RNAcentral describes it as "long non-coding RNA (HVUL_LNC014624)". Lineage: Eukaryota; Viridiplantae; Streptophyta; Magnoliopsida; Poales; Poaceae. The record is from RNAcentral.